GUAAAUCGGUGACUGUCCGAUAUUGCAAUUGAGAGUGAUCCGACUGCUCGAUCGAGACCAAACUUGCAGAACGUGUUAGUGGACUUGGCUAAACUUGUGGAAACUUUCGGAUCGAAAAUUGGAGGUCGUGGGCCCCGCGGGCCCAGUUGACCAAUAUGGGAAGUUUGACUCCUUGGUUGACCGUGAGUCUUCUGAUGUAGUUUCACCCUUCGAGAAGUACUAGAAUGACCUUAUAAACGAAUCUUGACUGUUAUUUGAGUCAUUUUGAUUAUGUUGGGAUUAUGAGAUUAUUU
This 293-nucleotide long non-coding RNA is filed under the name Prunus persica (peach). Its description in RNAcentral is "long non-coding RNA (PPER_LNC000794)". Lineage: Eukaryota; Viridiplantae; Streptophyta; Magnoliopsida; Rosales; Rosaceae. The record is from RNAcentral.